RNAcentral lists this long non-coding RNA (1335 nucleotides) under Monodelphis domestica (gray short-tailed opossum). RNAcentral's name for it is "lncRNA (ENSMODG00000041217.1)". Lineage: Eukaryota; Metazoa; Chordata; Mammalia; Didelphimorphia; Didelphidae. The record is from RNAcentral.
AGGCACUGUGCUAAGCUCUUGAGAUACAAAAAGAGGCAAAAGAGAGUCCCAGCCCUCAAGAAGCUUACAAUCUAAAAGGAGAGACAAUAAAAAAUAAGUUAUAUAUAGGAUGUGCUAGUGCUCAUCCUUCAUUUUCAAAGAGGUCCAAUGACAUCACAGGGUGCUUUCUUGAGUUGUGUGUGAGUUGGAUUUAAAUGAAGCAGAGUUGCACACAGUCAUGGGCCUCCCUCAUUUUCUCUUCCAGAAUCAUCAAAGUCCACUGGCAAGACAAAAGUCAGGACGACUGGUGAUGGUCCAGGAUGUGGUGGAUGGCUUCUUUGAUGUAUGACCAGAUUCUAAUAGCUGCAUGGCUCCUGAUUUGGCCACCUUCCUGGUGUUGAAUCACAUUGUUCUCAGCCACCCAUUCUGUCAGGGUAAGUCUUCACAUGCUUGGAGUAGACAUCCCCUAACUCACUGAUGGGUUUGAGGUCUGUUGGUUACCUCCAACCUGGUUUAGCUCAUCUGCUGAAAACAGUUCUACAGAGGUGUGUCUGCUAUGAGUGCUAUAGUUUUUUGGAGCCACAGGGGAGAAUUGAGUAAAAGGUGGACACCACAGUUAUAUAAACAGCCCUGACGAAAGGGCUCAGCAAGUCCUUACAAAGAAGAUCCUAGCCUUUCCUGAAAACAUUUCUAUAGAAUAAACAGGUAAUAAUUAAAAGAGUGAAAGUCCUGGAAUUAAGGGCAGUUAGGGAAACCUUCUUGUAGAAGGCAGAACUUUAGUUGGGACUUAAAGGAAACCAUAGAGAUCAGCAGAUAGAACAUUCUAGGUAUGGGGGACAACCAGAGAAAAGACCUGGAGCAGAGAAAUGGAGUGUCUUGCUCUUGGAGCAAGAAAGAAGCCAAUGUCACUGGAUCAAGGAGUACCUGCUGGGAGUAUGAUGCUAAGGGUGCUGGGAAUAGAAGAACAAAGAAUGAGACAACUCUUACUGGCAAAGAACAAGCAUCUAAUCAUGAGCACGACGUGUCUACAUGUCUGAAUAAUACCCAGCGCUUACCUAGGCAGGGAACAAAGACAAGGAAUCCUGAUGGGAGGAAGAAUGUGACCACAGGAAAGGAGAGACUCUCCUCUCCACUCCUCUGUUUAGGGAUCCAGCUCCCGCAGCAUCAGCCAUAUAAGGCCUCUCUUGCUCCCACUGCCCAUGCCCCAGCCUUGUUAGUGUUAUUUCCCUCUCAACAUCGAUUAAAAACAUUUUCUGAUGUUUUGCUUUUGUAUCAUGAACCUGUUCCUCUUACAACAAAGAAAAGUGAUUCAGCGGACAGUUCACGCAUCAUUUCAUAUGCGUAUCAUUCCACCCC